This is a non-coding RNA of Triticum urartu, 92 nucleotides long. NCBI's taxonomy places the organism in Eukaryota, Viridiplantae, Streptophyta, Magnoliopsida, Poales, Poaceae. The record is from Rfam.
UAGCGGCCGUUGAGAUGAUAUCGCUCCAUACCCGGUAGCGGCAGCUUGACUCCGCACACGCGUAGGGGGCAAUGUCACCUCAACAGCUGCUC